CGCAUAUUUCGCCAAGGCGUCGAAGAGACCGGCCCACACAAGAAAUGAUUGCUUUCAUUUAUCUGUAUCGUGAGCAGUAUGGAGUCGAGCCGAUUUGUACUGUAUUGCCGAUCGCUUCA
Molecule: regulatory RNA element, 119 nt
Organism: Spirochaeta africana DSM 8902
Lineage: Bacteria; Pseudomonadati; Spirochaetota; Spirochaetia; Spirochaetales; Spirochaetaceae
Rfam family: ALIL pseudoknot
Source: Rfam